GACGAACGCUGGCGGCGUGCUUAACACAUGCAAGUCGAACGGAAAGGCCCUGCUUUUGUGGGGUGCUCGAGUGGCGAACGGGUGAGUAACACGUGAGUAACCUGCCCUUGACUUUGGGAUAACUUCAGGAAACUGGGGCUCAUACCGGAUAGGAGCUACUGCUGCAUGGUGGGGGUUGGAAAGUUUCGGCUGUUGGUGAUGGACUCGCGGCGUAUCAGCUUGUUGGUGGGGUAGUGGAUUACCAAGGCUUUGACGGGUAGCCGGCCUGAGAGGGUGACCGGCCACGUUGGGACUGAGAUACGGCACAGACUCCUACGGGAGGCAACAGUGGGGAAUAUUGCACAGUGGGCGGAAGCCUGAUGCAGCAACGCCGCGUGCGGGAUGACGGCCUUCGGGUUGUAAACCGCAUUCGCCUGUGACGAGGCGUGAGUGACAGUAAUGGGUAAAGAAGCACCGGCUAACUACGUG
Molecule: ribosomal RNA, 468 nt
Filed under: uncultured bacterium
Lineage: Bacteria
Description: partial 16S ribosomal RNA
Rfam family: Bacterial small subunit ribosomal RNA
Source: RNAcentral